GACGUAGGGUGCGAGCGUUGUCCGGAAUUACUGGGCGUAAAGAGCUCGUAGGUGGUUUGUCGCGUUGUUCGUGAAAACUCACAGCUUAACUGUGGGCGUGCGGGCGAUACGGGCAGACUUGAGUACUGCAGGGGAGACUGGAAUUCCUGGUGUAGCGGUGAAAUGCGCAGAUAUCAGGAGGAACACCGGUGGCGAAGGCGGAUCUCUGGGCCGUAACUGACGCUGAGGAGCGAAAGCAUGGGGAGCGAACAGG
RNAcentral lists this ribosomal RNA (253 nucleotides) under uncultured bacterium. Its description in RNAcentral is "partial 16S ribosomal RNA". It matches the Rfam family "Bacterial small subunit ribosomal RNA", at positions 524 to 776 of the family's 1533-position model. The record is from RNAcentral.